Molecule: RNA transcript, 1121 nt
Organism: Brassica napus (rape)
Lineage: Eukaryota; Viridiplantae; Streptophyta; Magnoliopsida; Brassicales; Brassicaceae
Exons: 3
Source: RefSeq, a predicted model, not a curated record
AAUUAUUAAACAUUGAAUUCUUUUUUUUUUGCAUCCAUUAAAUGUUUUUCUUUGAACUUUGAAUUUUUCAUAGUUUGUUAGUUAUACAUUGGCAAAAAAAAAAAGUUAGUGAUUACACAUUAUUAGAUUUUCAAACUAUACAACACAUCAGAGUUGACAAAGAAGAUAAUAGAUACUUAGAUUAGAUACCAUUAAUGGUAAUGCAUGUCUAUUAUUUGGAUUGGUCCAUUAAUGAAUGUCAAUAGUAUUAGUUAUAAUGUGAUUUAAGUAUUUAGUCCGACAAUAAUGGGAAGUGGCAACCAGUAUUUGCCUCAUGACAAUGCUAUGCAGAUUAAUUAGUGAAAUUUUUAUUAGUCAUAGUUUUUCUCGGUAUCACAAAUUAAAAUUGGGAGAAGACCAACCAAAUCAAGUUGCAUUAUACUUUAAUUUUAUAAUUAGCAAUUACUUCUCGUUAUAUAAUUUCAAUUAGACCCAUGCGGUUAGAUAUUUAUUUCAUGGGCUCUUAUUGGGCCUGCUUACAACACUCGCCGUAUUUUAACUGUAGUGAUACACCGCGCGUAAAGCUGGUGGUGAUGGUUGUCCUCCCGAUCGCCGGUUGUGGUUGCUCAAAAUGACAAAUUUGAUGGUAAGCAUCACUUUAUAUGAUUCUACUAAAAACCCCAUUUCGAAAGCAUGCUCCUUUUUGUAAUUUAGAUUUGGUGAUUGUUAACAUUUGUUAUUUUCUAGUUAUGCAGCUUCUAUGGUGAACCGGGUAUCAUGUGAUAGCACUCUGGAGGGUUCAUCAGAGCAACGGAUUACUUCAGAUGCAGUCAUUGAGGUCAAUAUAGAGGUUUCUUUUGCGUUUAGAGUGUUUCCUGUGGGAGCUAUAGAGGCGACGGGGACGCAAGUUCUUGACCAGAUUCUUAGACUCAUGCUACCACGAUUCUUGUCUCAGCUCUCCAAAGACUAUCAAGCCAUGGGCUUCCGGAGACACUUCAAGGCAACCUCUUGGGACUGGCGAGAUCUGAUAGUAGAUCAAAAUGGACCUUACCUGGCUCAGAGAAGUCUUCAUCUUUUUCAAAUGUGUUCUUGUAAAAUGACCAUAGAUGAGUUUGAAUUCUCUGGAAUAAAAUUCUUUGAUA